GUAGGUGGCAAGCGUUGUCCGGAAUUAUUGGGCGUAAAGCGCGCGCAGGCGGUUCUUUAAGUCUGAUGUGAAAGCCCACGGCUCAACCGUGGAGGGUCAUUGGAAACUGGAGAACUUGAGUACAGAAGAGGAAAGCGGAAUUCCACGUGUAGCGGUGAAAUGCGUAGAGAUGUGGAGGAACACCAGUGGCGAAGGCGGCUUUCUGGUCUGUAACUGACGCUGAGGCGCGAAAGCGUGGGGAGCAAACAGGAUUAGAUACCCUGGUAGUCCACGCCGUAAACGAUGAGUGCUAAGUGUUAGGGGGGUUUUCCGCCCCCCUUAGUGCUGCAGCUAACGCAUUAAGCACUCCGCCUGUGGAGUACGGCCGCAAGGCUG
Molecule: ribosomal RNA, 375 nt
Filed under: uncultured organism
Description: partial 16S ribosomal RNA
Rfam family: Bacterial small subunit ribosomal RNA
Source: RNAcentral